RNAcentral lists this ribosomal RNA (305 nucleotides) under uncultured bacterium. Its description in RNAcentral is "bacterial SSU rRNA". It matches the Rfam family "Bacterial small subunit ribosomal RNA", at positions 333 to 655 of the family's 1533-position model. The record is from RNAcentral.
GCAGCCCUACGGGGCGCAGCAGUGGGAAUAUUGCACAAUGGGGGGAACCCUGAUGCAGCGACGCCGCGUGGGUGAAGGAGCGUUUCGGCGCGUAAAGCCCUAUCGGCAGGGAAGAAGGAGGACGGUACCUGACUAAGAAGCCCCGGCUAACUACGUGCCAGCAGCCGCGGUAAUACGUAGGGAGCAAGCGUUAUCCGGAAUUAUUGGGUGUAAAGGGUGCGUAGACGGGACAGCAAGUUAGUUGUGAAAGCCCUCGGCUUAACUGAGGAACUGCAACUAAAACUAUUGUUCUUGAGUGCAGGAGG